AUUUUUGACAAGAAUAACAUUUGAUUUGAGAUUUAUCGUACCUUGCACCUUGGUUGCCUCUCCCACGACUUGGGUAUUCUCUUCUUUCUUCAUUAUUGUUGAAACCUCCUCGUCCACGUCCAUGGCCUCGACCUCGUCCACGACCACGACCUCUUCAAUAUUGACCUCGUCCAUUUUCAAUAUUUUCUUCCUUAUCUUUUAUUUGCAUUUUGAAUAAUUGCUCCACUAUAUCUUGUUUCUUCAAUUGUUAUGACAUUAUGCUCGAAUUUGGAAGUUAAUGACCGGAGUAUCUUCUCAAUAAUUCUAACAUCUUCCAA
This 317-nucleotide long non-coding RNA is filed under the name Nicotiana benthamiana. RNAcentral describes it as "long non-coding RNA (NBEN_LNC005571)". The record is from RNAcentral. Lineage: Eukaryota; Viridiplantae; Streptophyta; Magnoliopsida; Solanales; Solanaceae.